RNAcentral lists this unclassified non-coding RNA (304 nucleotides) under plant metagenome. RNAcentral's name for it is "partial contains 5.8S ribosomal RNA, internal transcribed spacer 2, and large subunit ribosomal RNA". The stretch from base 1 to 105 matches the Rfam family "5.8S ribosomal RNA", at positions 50 to 154 of the family's 154-position model. The record is from RNAcentral.
GAAAUGUGAUAAGUAAUGUGAAUUGCAGAAUUCAGUGAAUCAUCGAAUCUUUGAACGCACAUUGCGCCCGCCAGUAUUCUGGCGGGCAUGUCUGUUCGAGCGUCAUUUCAACCAUCAAGCCCCCCGGCUUGUGUUGGGGACCUGCGGCUGCCGCAGGCCCUGAAAAGCAGUGGCGGGCUCGCUGUCACACCGAGCGUAGUAGCAUACAUCUCGCUCUGGGCGUGCUGCGGGUUCCGGCCGUUAAACCACCUUCGUAACCCAAGGUUGACCUCGGAUCAGGUAGGAAGACCCGCUGAACUUAAGC